This 359-nucleotide transfer-messenger RNA is filed under the name Leuconostoc sp. C2. Its description in RNAcentral is "transfer-messenger RNA Leuco_sp_C2". It matches the Rfam family "transfer-messenger RNA". Rfam says of the family: Bacterial tmRNA, also known as 10Sa RNA or SsrA, is named for its dual tRNA and mRNA-like properties. Lineage: Bacteria; Bacillati; Bacillota; Bacilli; Lactobacillales; Lactobacillaceae. The record is from RNAcentral.
GGGGUCGUUCUUGGAAUUCGACAGGUCGUUUAGGGCAUGGACUGCGUUUCGCCAACCGGGCGUAAAAACGGGCAGACUUUUUAACUGCAAAAAAUGAAAACUCUUUCGCAAUCGCUGCUUAAAACACAGUGACGCGUAACUUAAUCUUGGUCUCUGACAUCUAAGGUUAGGUCAUAAAAGGUCAGAUCGUGUAUAAUUUUACAUCUGGAGAUUAUACGUUAAAUUAAUCAGAUUAGUGACCAGUAGCUGCCUUGUGUUGUGGCGUAACUGGUUAUGAAAUUUAAAUGACAGCACUAUAAGCGUAGAGGUUCAUGUACCGGACGGUUUGGACAGGGGUUCGAAUCCCCUCGGCUCCACCA